RNAcentral lists this ribosomal RNA (381 nucleotides) under uncultured bacterium. Its description in RNAcentral is "bacterial SSU rRNA". It matches the Rfam family "Bacterial small subunit ribosomal RNA", at positions 28 to 408 of the family's 1533-position model. The record is from RNAcentral.
GACGAACGCUGGCGGCGUGCUUAACACAUGCAAGUCGAGCGGUAAGGCCCUUUCGGGGGUACACGAGCGGCGAACGGGUGAGUAACACGUGGGUGACCUGCCCUUAGCUCUGGGAUAAGCCUGGGAAACUGGGUCUAAUACCGGAUAUGACUCCAUGACGCAUGUUGUGGGGUGGAAAGCCUUGUGCGGCUAGGGAUGGGCCUGCGGCCUAUCAGCUUGUUGGUGGGGUGANGGCCUACCAAGGCGACGACGGGUAGCCGGCCUGAGAGGGCGACCGGCCACACUGGGACUGAGACACGGCCCAGACUCCUACGGGAGGCAGCAGGUGGGGAAUCUUGCGCAAGUGGGCGAAAGCCUGACGCAGCGACGCCGCGGUGGGGA